GGGGAUGUAGUUCAGUGGUAGAGCCCUUGCCUAGAAUACACAAGGUCCUGGGUUUGAUCCCCAGCAUCGCAA
This 72-nucleotide transfer RNA is filed under the name Heterocephalus glaber (naked mole-rat). It matches the Rfam family "tRNA". From Rfam's summary of the family: Transfer RNA (tRNA) molecules are approximately 80 nucleotides in length. Their secondary structure includes four short double-helical elements and three loops (D, anti-codon, and T loops). Further hydrogen bonds mediate the characteristic L-shaped molecular structure. tRNAs have two regions of fundamental functional importance: the anti-codon, which is responsible for specific mRNA codon recognition, and the 3' end, to which the tRNAs corresponding amino acid is attached (by aminoacyl-tRNA synthetases). tRNAs cope with the degeneracy of the genetic code in two manners: having more than one tRNA (with a specific anti-codon) for a particular amino acid; and 'wobble' base-pairing, i.e. permitting non-standard base-pairing at the 3rd anti-codon position. The record is from Rfam by way of RNAcentral. Lineage: Eukaryota; Metazoa; Chordata; Mammalia; Rodentia; Bathyergidae.